Camarhynchus parvulus is the source of this 1088-nucleotide long non-coding RNA. RefSeq lists it as uncharacterized. The transcript has 5 exons. The record is from RefSeq and is a predicted model, not a curated record. Lineage: Eukaryota; Metazoa; Chordata; Aves; Passeriformes; Thraupidae.
GCGGCCCUUCCGGUGGGGCAGCGCGGCCGCGGCCCGGCCGGGCUCCGGUGGGAAUGGAGCCUCGUAACGCGUCUGUGCUCCCGGCCGGCAGCGCCACUGCCGCUGGAUGUGCGCGGGAGAGGGCCCAGGGUCACUGGGAAGCAUGGGACAAGACCUGAACGAUAACUUCUUACAAGACCUGAAUGAUAACUUCUUGCAAGGUGCAGCGGGGAGAGAAGCAGCAAGUUGUGCUGGAACAGUUUCUGGAGAAAUGCGACACAAAAGGUUAAAUCUGUGCCUGAGCUGAGAGAGGAUGGAAUCUGCUGGGACGGCUUAGCCUGGAAGAGAGCUGUCAUGGAGAUGGUCCAGACUCUGGUUUUCCUGCAGUCUGCUGGUUUACACGAGACCCCAAAGUGUUUCCUUAAAGCACUUCAAAGGAAUUUCAGCUGAUGGGUCAGAAGUUGCUGUUGGCUGCCAUCACAAAGACACACAGAGGACAUUUGAAGUUUUCCCUGUUGUGUGCCUAGUGAGCCAACAGGGAGCAGGUGUUCCCUGUGGAGCUGUGGGGUUUUCAGCCUGGCCAGUGCCUCUGUACCAGCAGCAGGGCUGCACCUGGAAGCCAGAGCCAGUGCAUGGCCAGAGGAGCUCGACAGGCAGACAGGUCCUGACUUCUUUACACAGGCUGCGGAUGAGGCACAUCAGCCUCGAGCAAAGGUUCGGGUGUGGAAUUUAGUCACCAAAUAGUGGGAAGGUCCCUAUGACCUUAUCGCCUCGGGGUGCAGGUAUGCCUGUGUAUCCACAGAUACUGGGGUACGCUGGGUACCUUCGAGAUGUGUUCGCCCUGACCUGCGACCACAGAGGCAGAAUCCAGCCGACGAGCAAGAUGGAGACCAUGACCAACCUCAAAGGCAUCAAGCGGGUGAAUCAUUGAGUGAUGACUCGGACACAGAUGCUGAGAGUGAUCACUCCGAUGAUUCCUCUGCAAGUGGACGCUGAAUGUUGUUCAUGUUUUCCUUUUCACAUUGUUCAUUUUCUUUUCCUUUUUUCUUUUUUAAAUGGAAAAAGGGUGAGAUGUCACCCUGGUUUUUUAAGAUUUUCUAGGCCUUCUG